UACGAAGGGGGCUAGCGUUGCUCGGAAUCACUGGGCGUAAAGCGCACGUAGGCGGAUCCUUAAGUCAGGGGUGAAAUCCCAAGGCUCAACCUUGGAACUGCCUUUGAUACUGGGGAUCUCGAGUCCGGAAGAGGUUGGUGGAACUGCGAGUGUAGAGGUGAAAAUUCGUAGAUAUUCGCAAGAACACCAGUGGCGAAGGCGGCCAACUGGUCCGGUACUGACGCUGAGGUGCGAAAGCGUGGGGGAGCAAACA
This 253-nucleotide ribosomal RNA is filed under the name uncultured bacterium. RNAcentral describes it as "partial 16S ribosomal RNA". It matches the Rfam family "Bacterial small subunit ribosomal RNA", at positions 524 to 774 of the family's 1533-position model. The record is from RNAcentral.